Molecule: ribosomal RNA, 460 nt
Filed under: uncultured bacterium
Lineage: Bacteria
Description: partial 16S ribosomal RNA
Rfam family: Bacterial small subunit ribosomal RNA
Source: RNAcentral
CCUACGGGUGGCAGCAGUGAGGAAUAUUGGUCAAUGGACGCAAGUCUGAACCAGCCAAGCCGCGUGCAGGAAGACGGCCCUAUGAGUUGUAAACUGCUUUUGUACGAGGGUAAACGCAGAUACGCGUAUCUGUCUGCAAGUAUCGCACGAAUAAGGAUCGGCUAACUCCGUGCCAGCAGCCGCGGUAAUACGGAGGAUUCAAGCGUUAUCCGGAUUUAUUGGGUUUAAAGGGUGCGUAGGCGGUCGGAUAAGUUAGAGGUGAAAUCCCGAGGCUCAACGUCGGAAUUGCCUCUGAUACUGUUCGGCUAGAGAGUAGUUGCGGUAGGCGGAAUGUAUGGUGUAGCGGUGAAAUGCUUAGAGAUCAUACAGAACACCGAUUGCGAAGGCAGCUUACCAAGCUACUUCUGACGUUGAGGCACGAAAGCGUGGGGAGCAAACAGGAUUAGAUACCCUAGUAGUC